Molecule: ribosomal RNA, 334 nt
Filed under: uncultured Prevotella sp.
Lineage: Bacteria; Pseudomonadati; Bacteroidota; Bacteroidia; Bacteroidales; Prevotellaceae
Description: bacterial SSU rRNA
Rfam family: Bacterial small subunit ribosomal RNA
Source: RNAcentral
UGAGGAAUAUUGGUCAAUGGGCGCAAGCCUGAACCAGCCAAGUAGCGUGAGGGAUGACUGCCCUACGGGUUGUAAACCUCUUUUGUUUGGGAAUAAAGUGCGGGACGCGUCCCGCAUUGCAUGUACCAUUUGAAUAAGGACCGGCUAAUUCCGUGCCAGCAGCCGCGGUAAUACGGAAGGUCCGGGCGUUAUCCGGAUUUAUUGGGUUUAAAGGGAGCGCAGGCCGUGGGUUAAGCGUGUCGUGAAAUUCCGCCGCUCAACGGCGGACGUGCGGCGCGAACUGGUCCACUUGAGUACGCGGGACGUUGGCGGAAUUCGUGGUGUAGCGGUGAAA